RNAcentral lists this non-coding RNA (197 nucleotides) under Aminobacter sp. The record is from RNAcentral. Lineage: Bacteria; Pseudomonadati; Pseudomonadota; Alphaproteobacteria; Hyphomicrobiales; Phyllobacteriaceae.
UAUAGUUGCGGCGUCGUCGGUUCCGUUACGGAAUCAAGAGGGAAUGCGGUAAGGUCCAUUAGAGGGUCCGAAGCCGUGGCUGCCCCCGCAACUGUAUGCGGCUAGUCCUCCCCAAAUGCCACUGAAGCUUGCUUCGGGAAGGCGGGGAAGGGUGCCAAUCCGCAAGCCAGGAGACCUGCCGGCGACAGGCACUUAUC